Long non-coding RNA from Oncorhynchus tshawytscha (Chinook salmon), 461 nucleotides. The record is from Ensembl. Lineage: Eukaryota; Metazoa; Chordata; Actinopteri; Salmoniformes; Salmonidae.
UGAUUUCCUACUGUUCGGCGCUGAUGAUUCUGGACAUUUUUCCGUGUUGUCAAUAAUGACUUUAAUGAUCUGCAAAUUGAUUUAUAGUCGAAAAACGGAAACAUCAUUGCCUACUCAGUAAGACUACUGGGAUAUUAUGGUUCAGGUUUAUGUUUUUUAUGUUCGGUGGAUUUACUUUUGAAGGCCUAAAUAAUAUUAUUGUAGUUUCAAAAAACAUUCAGGGAGGAUAUAGUUCUGCAGCCUCGCAAGCAUCAACUGUUUGCAGAUACCUCUGGGCCACAGCAAAUCUCCCAACGGCCUCGGCUGUGACAAUAUUUUGGUUGAAAAUAAGUCAUAGGAGAAAUCCGUUUGAUUCUGGGGUACAACUCAGAAUCUUGCAUUGCCUUGGGUGAGAACACAGAGGAGGAAGAUAGAGAUGGUGGCUCUUACAUGAAAGGCCUGGACUCCUCUCAAAAACCUGG